RNAcentral lists this unclassified non-coding RNA (2663 nucleotides) under Acanthaster planci (crown-of-thorns starfish). RNAcentral describes it as "uncharacterized LOC110978211, transcript variant X1". Lineage: Eukaryota; Metazoa; Echinodermata; Asteroidea; Valvatida; Acanthasteridae. The record is from RNAcentral.
UGUGCGUGUCAGCGGUAACGUUCAGCUCACGUGUGUGAGUGAUUUAGUAGGGGAAGUUAAUGCACAUACAGGCCAAGAAUGUCCGUCGACAACACGGUACAUGCACUGAAGACGACCAACCAGCAGGCAGUGCGGGAUUUCUAGAGUGGCAACUCUCAUACCGUAAGAUCACCACUAGUCUUGCAGCUGCACUGUCCGCGGCCGGACGGUACGGAGAUGGCAUGGCAGCUCGUGGUACGUGCGCGUCGGCUUACCUGGUCGGCCCACGGCCUGAGACAGAGGAAGAUUUUGGCACUCAUUGUCGGUGUGUCGCUAUUCAGCUGUGCGCACUUCCUUGCCAGAUCAGAGGGAGUGUUCUCGGCGGGGCUGCAGCGCCAAGAGACGUCAGAGAAUCGGGUAGUUCACGGCAGCGAUGUCCAGCGGCUGAACGAACUCGGAAAUGGUGCUCUUUGGCCACCCCCUCCGUCCUCAGAUCAAGUCACACAGGAAGGGGAAUUUCCCUUUAAGCCCGCCAGGCCACCUGGAGAUAUCAGCGAACUGUCGGGGGUCAAUUCACUGGGCCGGCUGAGGCAGGCCAAGAUGGCCGUAAAACGGCACGAGGAGCCGUUCCCGUGGCCUGUGAGGCAGAACUUCAUUCCAAACUAUUUCCUCAACUACGACAAUGCGUCGCUGUCGCCUGCAGCGGAGGACAAGCCGAUGCGUUUCGACUCACACAGCGUCCUCGUUUACCUGCACCACAACAAAGCGGCUGGUACAACGACCAAGAGGUGUCUGUCCGACAUUGCAGGCGCCAGUCUGGGUCGGACGGUUGGGCCCGUGUUGAGUAGCGAAGGACGGCUGGCCGUAGAGGCUCGUUUCAUGCGGAAGAGGCGAUUCAAGAUGCGGAGUACGCCCAACGUGUACUUUGGUGGGUACUCUUUCGGACUCUGUGACCGAUACAAGAAACCUUGCGCCUACUUCACCGUUAUGCGGGACCCGUACGAGCGGACGCUGUCUUCCCAUUCGUACUGCAAGCACGCACGACAGGAUCAACUCUGCUCCGCCCAGGUUGCUCGCAGGGUGUCCCUUCACGAAUGGGCUCUGCACCAAGGCAGCUUCUUCUUCAGGCAGCUCUUGUUCCAGCCAGUGUUCUGCAGCGACAAGACUCGCUGGAUGCGCUACAUCGACAUCGAAGGCGUUCCGCAUGACUUCGUGAUGAAGCAAGAUUGGCUGAGGAGCGCCCCCUGUUGGUUCCGACAGAAACUCAUCAUGGAGCUGACUUUAAACGAGACUCUGCACGAGGCUUUACUCCAGUACUGCCUGGAGAACAUGGAACGCUGGUUUACCGUCAUCAUGCUGGUAGACCACUACGACGAAUCACUGCAAAUGGCACAGCAAGCCCUGAAACUGCCCAUGUACGAUCGGUGCGCCGGAAGGCGCUACAACGCUGGUUCCUACAACAAAACCAGCAACCCCAUCAACGUGUCGAAAUCAAUGGAACCCAACGGGACUAUCGCCGGGCACCAGCCAACGACCGAUCCUUCAGCGGAAAAGCAGUUGCUUGAACUUCGGAAGGAUCCGGAAAUCCGUAAGAUCUUGCGAGCAGACGAACUGUUAUACCGAAAAGGAGUGGAAAUCUUCAACAAGCAGAGGGUGGUAUUCAAGAAAAUCCAAUCUCAAACAUGACAACAAAGUAUUCAAACGCUUAACUCAUCCAGCGAAGUCCUUUCUCCAGCUUUUUACCCUUUGCAAGUAGCCCACGGCUCGACACUUCCCACUUCCUUGACACUUUUUCAAAGGGUGUUCCAGCGUUGAGUCUCAUCUAUGCAUUGAUUGUAUGAUUUGGGAAGAUGGCUUCAGCGGAGUAUAUAGUACUACGGUUGCUCUUCAGUCCACUUGGCUUGGUCUCUGGAGGUCUUCCACCAUAACAGAUAUAAAUAAUGCACGUCCGAUGGAUGACUCUGACUGAAGUAGAGGAAGGGAAAAGGCGAAACAAAACUGAGUCGUGUUCGUUUCCCGACGGUCGAGAACAUUCAGUCGUACGUGGAAAGUGCUUCCAUUAGCUGUGUAAAUACAGGUCACACCGGUGCAACGCUCGUCUGAUGGACUGGAGUGAUGUCCUUCGCUGGGCGUCGGUGGAAGCAUAGAGCAAGGAUCCUUGCUCUACGGUAGAAGCGUGCCACGGCAUAACACUGGGACGUAAAUCCAUUUACAUGUACAUGCACGUUUAGUAACCGUCGUUGAGAUUAAAGGGAUCGGGGGGGGGAGAUGGAUCCUGACACUACAAUUCUGGGUUUGACCGAAUUCCCUCGUUAUUUUAAAACAUCUUUUGCCACGUCCUGGGUGAUAAUGGCUGAAAUUGUCGAGGAGGCACUCGAGAUAAGUCUGCGUUUACACAAUGUAGCAUGCGGGGUCUAUAAAUGGCCUGUUCUAAACUUCAGCCUUGUUUCCAAACAGACAAAAGGCGCCUUUCCACAAUGCGCGUCAACACUUACGCUGAGCGUUGCGUAUCCGUCAAAAUCGCUCCCAGGGCGAUUUUGACGCUCCCAGGGCGAUUUUGACGGCCAAACGCAACGCACACAUAUGUUAUGUUAAUAAUGGAGCCGAUCUAUGGGUGCGUUCGAUUAGCUUACACGUGUAAGUCAAACUUACACGAGAGCGUUCGUUUAGCGAUCACGUGAUGU